RNAcentral lists this non-coding RNA (30 nucleotides) under Cricetulus griseus (Chinese hamster). Lineage: Eukaryota; Metazoa; Chordata; Mammalia; Rodentia; Cricetidae. The record is from RNAcentral.
AAGGAAGUAGACAUGCAGGCCUUGGCCCUG